UGGCGAUUAAUCUGAGUAUCUAGUGGGCCAUUUUUUGGUAAGCAGAACUGGCGCUGUGGGAUGAACCAAACGUCGGGUUAAGGGGCCUAGAGGAAUGCUCAUUCAGAUCCCAUCGAAAGGCGUUGGUUGCUCUAGACAGCAGGACGGUGGCCAUGGAAGUCGGAAUCCGCUAAGGAGUGUGUAACAACUCACCUGCCGAAGCAACUAGCCCUUAAAAUGGUAUGGCGCUGAAGCAUUCUCCCGAUACUCGACCGCCGGGGCAUUAGCGGCCACAUCAUCGUCGUCGUCGUCGUCGACUUUGAGGAGGAGGCGGCGGCGGCGGCGAGGAGGUCUCGAUGAANCCCCGGUGAGUAAGANGGUCGCAGUGGUGANCGCUGAAAGGAUCCGGCGUGAGCCGGCCUGGAGCCACCACUGGUGCAGAUCUUGGUGGUAGUAGCAAAUACUCGAGAGAGACUCCCUUGAANACCGAUGUGGAGAAGGGUUCCAUGUGAACAUCAGUUGGACAUGGGUUAGUCGCUCCUAAGCCCAAGGCUAAGGCCUGAUCCCACGCUAGCGGC
RNAcentral lists this ribosomal RNA (557 nucleotides) under Euastacus maidae. Its description in RNAcentral is "eukaryotic LSU rRNA". It matches the Rfam family "Eukaryotic large subunit ribosomal RNA", at positions 1103 to 1582 of the family's 3401-position model. Lineage: Eukaryota; Metazoa; Arthropoda; Malacostraca; Decapoda; Parastacidae. The record is from RNAcentral.